This 450-nucleotide ribosomal RNA is filed under the name uncultured bacterium. Its description in RNAcentral is "bacterial SSU rRNA". It matches the Rfam family "Bacterial small subunit ribosomal RNA", at positions 354 to 796 of the family's 1533-position model. The record is from RNAcentral.
GUGGGGAAUAUUGGACAAUGGGCGAAAGCCUGAUCCAGCCAUGCCGCGUGUGUGAAGAAGGCCUUUUGGUUGUAAAGCACUUUAAGUAGGGAGGAAAAGCUAAUGGUUAAUACCCAUUAGCCCUGACGUUACCUACAGAAUAAGCACCGGCUAACUCUGUGCCAGCAGCCGCGGUAAUACAGAGGGUGCAAGCGUUAAUCGGAAUUACUGGGCGUAAAGCGCGCGUAGGUGGUUGCUUAAGUCAGAUGUGAAAGCCCCGGGCUUAACCUGGGAACUGCAUCUGAUACUGGGUAACUAGAGUAGGUGAGAGGGGAGUAGAAUUCCAGGUGUAGCGGUGAAAUGCGUAGAGAUCUGGAGGAAUACCGAUGGCGAAGGCAGCUCCCUGGCAUCAUACUGACACUGAGGUGCGAAAGCGUGGGUAGCAAACAGGAUUAGAAACCCUAGUAGUCC